GUGCCAGCAGCCGCGGUAAUACGUAGGGGGCAAGCGUUGUCCGGAUUUAUUGGGCGUAAAGAGCGUGUAGGCGGCCUGUCAAGUCUGAUGUGAAAUCUUGCGGCUUAACCGCAAGCCUGCAUUGGAAACUGUCAGGCUAGAGUCUGGAUGAGGAAGAUGGAAUUCCUGGUGUAGCGGUGAAAUGCGCAGAUAUCAGGAGGAACACCGGUGGCGAAGGCGGUCUUCUAGGACAGUACUGACGCUGAGACGCGAAAGCGUGGGGAGCAAACAGGAUUAGAUACCCGUGUAGUCC
RNAcentral lists this ribosomal RNA (292 nucleotides) under uncultured bacterium. RNAcentral describes it as "partial 16S ribosomal RNA". It matches the Rfam family "Bacterial small subunit ribosomal RNA", at positions 505 to 796 of the family's 1533-position model. The record is from RNAcentral.